AUUGAACGCUGGCGGCAGGCCUAACACAUGCAAGUCGAACGGUAACAGGAAGCAGCUUGCUGCUUUGCUGACGCGUGGCGGACGGGUGAGUGAUGUCUGGGAAACUGCCUGAUGGAGGGGGAUAUCUACUGGAAACGGUAACUAAUACCGCAUAACUUCGCAAGACCAAAGAGGGGGACAUUCUGGCCUCUUGCCAUCGGGUGUGCCCAGAUGGGAUUAGCUAGUAGGUGGGGUAAAGGCUCACCUAGGCGACGAUCCCUAGCUGGUCUGAGAGGAUGAUCAGCCACACUGGAACUGAGACACGGUCCAGACUCCUACGGGAGGCAGCAGUGGGGAAUAUUGGACAAUGGGCGCAAGCCUGAUGCAGCCAUGCCGCGUGGAUGAAGAAGGCCUUCGGGUUGUAAAGUACUUUCAGCGGGGAGGAAGGGAGUAAAGUUAAUACCUUUGCUCAUUGACGUUACCCGCAGAAGAAGCACCGGCUAACUCCGUG
RNAcentral lists this ribosomal RNA (490 nucleotides) under uncultured bacterium. RNAcentral describes it as "partial 16S ribosomal RNA". It matches the Rfam family "Bacterial small subunit ribosomal RNA", at positions 30 to 507 of the family's 1533-position model. The record is from RNAcentral.